AGUACAAUUGCCAUGAUACCAGUAACACGGUAGACAGCGGAGGGGUAGGCUGCUGCCGCCUCACCUUAUUCCCUCUGGUCCUAGUGAUAGCGUUCAUCCAUUUGUAAUAACUGUUAUCUCACCGAUAUAAAGUUACGCUGAUAAUAGCAGUGUUUAGUACUUGAAAUAAAAAUCAUGGUCUACUUUCUCCUAAUAUAAUUCAUCACCGUACGCUGCACUGAUUUUUUGUUUUAAAUUUCAUAAUUGAUCACAAAACCUUGUGUCAUGUAAUAAGCACAGAGAAAACGCCAGUCCACCUAGCAAUGACCAUAAGACUUUUGGCUGUCUUCAAGAUGGAGUUCAACAAUUUAGUCAAAUCAGUUCCUGACCAGCUAAACUUUGGUUUGUACAUUGGACUGCAUGUGACUAGCAGUAACAGUGGUUGAUCAGGUCUUGAUCCACCAGGAGGUUUGGUCUUUGAGUGGGACAUAGGGGCAUUGACCUCAGAAAACAUCCUUCAGGUAUCUCCUCAGGGAAGGUUCCUUAAUGCUGUGAGGGGCUGUUGAUCCAAGGAAUUGAACUUGUCCCCUGCUUCCUUGUAUUGAACCUGUUUGCCUUCCAUUGCCCAGGCACUUUGACUACCAGUUCAGCACUUCCCACUAAAUAUAAUAAUUUUUUUUUAUAUAUUUUAUUCAAAACCUCAUGUAUAAAUAUUAUACAUAGGUAAGUAGUACAUAUAUUAAUAUGUAACAGUGGUACUGGCUAUGAGCAAUAAAUCAACAUUGUCGCUACUCAGUCUACUGAGUAACUACAACACACAUAAUGGCACUAAAACUAACCUAACACAACCUACACCCUGCUUCUAAGUAAAAUGCUACACAAGUACAAAGGUUUUUAUGAAAUAAUAUAAUGGUGCAAACACAGUAAUGCUUACACUCCUACCCCCCACAAGUUUAAACUGUCCACUUUCACGUAAUACUUUCUGUUACAUAUAAACAAGAAACAGCCCAGGCAGUCUAUUACACUAUACUACAGUGGUACCUCGAGUUACGAAUUUAAUUCGUUCCAGAAGGUUGUUCGAGUGCCGAUACCGAACGAAUUUGUUCCCAUAAGGAAUAAUCUAAAUUAGAUUAGUCCGUUUCAGACCCCCAAAAAUACACUUACAAAAACACUUACAAAAAUACAUUUACAUAAUUGUUAGAGUUGGGAGCUGUUUGAAACUCUAGGUACCACUGUAUAUAUACAAGACGUACCUAAUCAUACCGCUACUUGAAAAUAUUUAAGAAUACCUCACUGUUCUGACAAUGGUACAUUGCUCAUUUAAAAUUAUGCAAAAAAAAAAAAAAAAAAAAAAAAAAGAUAUAUAGGUAGACACGCAUGGUUACUUGGAACAAAAA
Non-coding RNA from Cherax quadricarinatus, 1376 nucleotides. NCBI's taxonomy places the organism in Eukaryota, Metazoa, Arthropoda, Malacostraca, Decapoda, Parastacidae. The record is from RefSeq and is a predicted model, not a curated record.